GAUGAACGCUGGCGGCGUGCCUAAUACAUGCCUGUCGAGCGAACAGACGAGGAGCUUGUUCCUCUAACGUUAGCGGCGGACGGGUGAGUAACACGUGGAUAACCUACCUAUAAGACUGGGAUAACUUCGGGAAACCGGAGCUAAUACCGGAUAAUAUAUUGAACCGCUUGGUUCAAUAGUGAAAGACGGUUUUGCUGUCACUUAUAGAUGGAUCCGCGCCGCAUUAGCUAGUUGGUAAGGUAACGGCUUACCAAGGCAACGAUGCGUAGCCGACCUGAGAGGGUGAUCGGCCACACUGGAACUGAGACACGGUCCAGACUCCUACGGGAGGCAGCAGUAGGGAAUCUUCCGCAAUGGGCGAAAGCCUGACGGAGCAACGCCGCGUGAGUGAUGAAGGUCUUCGGAUCGUAAAACUCUGUUAUUAGGGAAGAACAAAUGUGUAAGUAACUAUGCACGUCGUGACGGUACCUAAUCAGAAAGCCACGGCUAACUACGUGCCAGCAGCCGCGGUAAUACGUAGGUGGCAAGCGUUAUCCGGAAUUAUUGGGCGUAAAGCGCGCGUAGGCGGUUUUUUAAGUCUGAUGUGAAAGCCCACGGCUCAACCGUGGAGGGUCAUUGGAAACUGGAAAACUUGAGUGCAGAAGAGGAAAGUGGAAUUCCAUGUGUAGCGGUGAAAUGCGCAGAGAUAUGGAGGAACACCAGUGGCGAAGGCGACUUUCUGGUCUGUAACUGACGCUGAUGUGCGAAAGCGUGGGGAUCAAACAGGAUUAGAUACCCUGGUAGUCCACGCCGUAAACGAUGAGUGCUAAGUGUUAGGGGGUUUCCGCCCCUUAGUGCUGCAGCUAACGCAUUAAGCACUCCGCCUGGGGAGUACGACCGCAAGGUUGAAACUCAAAGGAAUUGACGGGGACCCGCACAAGCGGUGGAGCAUGUGGUUUAAUCCGAAGCAACGCGAAGAACCUUACCAAACCUUGACAUCCUCUGACCCCUCUAGAGAUAGAGUUUUCCCCUUCGGGGGACAGAGUGACAGGUGGUGCAUGGUUGUCGUCAGCUCGUGUCGUGAGAUGUUGGGUUAAGUCCCGCAACGAGCGCAACCCUUAAGCUUAGUUGCCAUCAUUAAGUUGGGCACUCUAAGUUGACUGCCGGUGACAAACCGGAGGAAGGUGGGGAUGACGUCAAAUCAUCAUGCCCCUUAUGAUUUGGGCUACACACGUGCUACAAUGGACAAUACAAAGGGCAGCGAAACCGCGAGGUCAAGCAAAUCCCAUAAAGUUGUUCUCAGUUCGGAUUGUAGUCUGCAACUCGACUAUAUGAAGCUGGAAUCGCUAGUAAUCGUAGAUCAGCAUGCUACGGUGAAUACGUUCCCGGGUCU
RNAcentral lists this ribosomal RNA (1372 nucleotides) under uncultured bacterium. Its description in RNAcentral is "bacterial SSU rRNA". It matches the Rfam family "Bacterial small subunit ribosomal RNA", at positions 28 to 1381 of the family's 1533-position model. The record is from RNAcentral.